RNAcentral lists this long non-coding RNA (1406 nucleotides) under Piliocolobus tephrosceles (Ugandan red Colobus). RNAcentral describes it as "lncRNA (ENSPTEG00000023705.1)". Lineage: Eukaryota; Metazoa; Chordata; Mammalia; Primates; Cercopithecidae. The record is from RNAcentral.
UGUAUGAAGAUGUUUUAUUAUUUUUUUUCUUAUUUUUUUUGUGUUUAUUAUUUGCUUUUUUAAUUUAUAACAUUUUAAAAACUAGAAAUAAGGGACAGGCCUUCAUGGGUAUUUUGUUCUGCUUUAACAAAAUAAGAAACUGAAAAAAUAAUAACUAAAAAAUAAUAAGUAAAAAUAAAAUAAAUUUGUCCGCUUUUGUUUGACACGAUUGUGUUUUUUUGCACCAAUUGUGUUUGUUUUUGGUAUCCACCACUUCUGUUUUUUGGGGUAUCCGCUGAUUUGUUUUAUGACUACCCAUUCAUCUUUGCUCCCCAUUCAUCUCUACCCCCCCAUUCAUCUCUCUCUGUAAGGCAUAAUGAAUAGUGAUAAACUAAGGAUGAGCAUAUCUAAUAUAAUAUUGAAUAAUAAUAUAAUUUUAAAAAAUGGAGAUGAAAAAACCAACAGAGAACGUAUUUUUAAUAAUUAUGACUUAAUAGUUAGCAUUUUAAAAAAUAAAUUUGUUCAGUACAGACGUUUAAAAAAAAAUGACUUAGAUCGUGUAGUCAUGAGUGCUAUAGAAACAAUUUUUCAAAAUAAAAAAAAACUUAAAAUAAAUAAGAAUAAGCAAGACAAAAAAAAAUAUACAAGUGAAGGUUGUAUACAUAGUGACUAUACAAAAGAAACUGGUAUAAAUAAAAAUGUAGCCAGUGAUAUAAUAAAUGAAAAUUCUAAUUUAACAAACAUUACAAACAUUACAAACUUUACAAGUAUUACAAAAAAUACUCAACAAAAUAGUACAAAUAAUAAAUAUAUAAAUGUAGUUGAAAUAGAAGAUGAUGUAGUAGUAUCCCCCUUAAAAAAACAUAUCACAGAAAAAAAACUACUUUUAAGUGAAAAAUGUAAAAAAAUUAUACAAAACAAUAACAAUAUAAAUGGUAAUAAUGUAUGUAUUAAAGAAACAAACAAAAUGAAAAAAAAAAAAAAAAAAAUAAAUAAUAAUAAUAAUAAUAAUAAUGAAAUUGAAAGUAGUGCAACACCAAUUAUACAAAAAAAAAAAAAAAAAUCAAUUUUAAAUUUAGUAAUUGAAAAAAUGAAAACAGAUAUGAUUAAAUUAAGAGAAAAAGAGAAAGAAACAAAUGAUAUGGAUAAUAUGGAUAAUAUUUUAUCAGAUAUUAAACAAAAUAUAAAUCCAAAUAUAAAUUUAACUACUUAUAAAGGUAUCAGUAAUAUAAAAAAAGAAAUAUUUUAUAGUAUAAUUUAUCCAUAUAAAUUUAAACAUAAUAAUAAUUAUUCAAAUACUAUAAUUAAUAUAAACGGUUGGAACGGUUCUGGUAAAACUACUUUGGCAUACGCCAUAGCAGGUGAAUGUGGUUGUGCUUUUUUUUAUAUACCAUUACCACAAUAUAUAAAACAUUUAUCUUAUGAAA